GUGUUUAGAUGUAUGUGUUGCCUCAUGAAUUCAACACUUUUUUGUCUCUAUUCCAAGGUCCAGAGGUCAGACGUUUAACUACUGGCUGGAAUGGUGGAAAGGGGGAAUGUAAGGAGAAAAGCCGGCCAUCGCAUGACACAACUAUAAACCGGAAAUUAGGCCAUUCAAUACUGAUUAAGCUCCAAGAAUUCUGCUAAAAGCUCCAGUGAAUGGAAGACUUCUAUUCCUGUGAGAAAGAAAUGUGUAGCUGG
RNAcentral lists this long non-coding RNA (251 nucleotides) under Aotus nancymaae (Ma's night monkey). RNAcentral's name for it is "lncRNA (ENSANAG00000039180.1)". The record is from RNAcentral. Lineage: Eukaryota; Metazoa; Chordata; Mammalia; Primates; Aotidae.